CAUACAUAAGCCAAAUGUUCCCCAUCCAUCCGGCUCCAGAGCAUGGUACCCAUGCUCCCCCUUUCAUCACCUUGCUGUUAGUGAUGCAAAGAAUCCAACGGAGAUCUCUGAGGCUCUGGGAGAUGGUAGGGCCACACCAUGAAGGUGCCUGGGCCCCUGAAUGACUGCAUGGAGCACAGUGCUCACUCCACAUUGGACUGUGACACAAGCAAGAAAGACCCCAGGCUCCAGAAGCAGACAAGACGACAAACAGAAGAGCAGAAG
This is a long non-coding RNA of Sapajus apella (tufted capuchin), 264 nucleotides long. RefSeq lists it as uncharacterized. The record is from RefSeq and is a predicted model, not a curated record. The transcript has 3 exons. Lineage: Eukaryota; Metazoa; Chordata; Mammalia; Primates; Cebidae.